AGUGAACGCUGGCGGUAGGCCUAACACAUGCAAGUCGAACGGCAGCACAGUAAGAGCUUGCUCUUACGGGUGGCGAGUGGCGGACGGGUGAGGAAUACAUCGGAAUCUACUUUUUCGGGGGGGAUAACGGAGGGAAACUGACGCUAAUACCGCAUACGACCUACGGGUGAAAGCAGGGGAGCUUCGGACCUUGCGCGAUUGAAUGAGCCGAUGUCGGAUUAGCUAGUUGGCGGGGUAAAGGCCCACCAAGGCGACGAUCCGUAGCUGGUCUGAGAGGAUGAUCAGCCACACUGGAACUGAGACACGGUCCAGCCUCCUACGGGAGGCACCAGUGGGGAAUAUUGGACAUUGGGCGCAAGCCUGCUCCAGCCAUCCCGCUUGGGUGAAGAAGGCCUUCGGGUUGUAAAGCCCUUUUGUUGGGAAAGAAGAGCAGCAGGUUAAUACCCCGCUGUUCUGACGGUACCCACAGAAUAAGCACCGGCUAACUUCGUG
RNAcentral lists this ribosomal RNA (492 nucleotides) under uncultured bacterium. RNAcentral describes it as "partial 16S ribosomal RNA". It matches the Rfam family "Bacterial small subunit ribosomal RNA", at positions 29 to 507 of the family's 1533-position model. The record is from RNAcentral.